AAAUCAUACCAGCGUUUCUUCCGAGAUCCGACUGUAAAACCAACAUUAUUAUAGCAUUUAUUAGCAAGUUAAGCGUACUACAAUUGCCAUUGUGCACCUGUUCCAGAAGAGGUGAUGCAUGAUGUUUAUUAUUUAAUCUUUUAGUUAGAUCUAAAAAUAUCUUGAAGUGCAGUCUUGCUAAUUACGUCAAGCUUUAUAUUGUGCUCUGUUGUCAACGAACAUCGGCCGCACGAAUGUGCAUUCAGUCCUUGUCUGAACCUGACCUCUAAGCUGUGCGGUUGUGUAAGACUGCAGGGAGGAAGAGAGAUGGACAGCAUCUCCUGUCACCAUGCACUGCAGCGGGAGAGAGACUGGCUGUUGAUAUUGGCCGUGGAGACGCGUGUCUAAACCUGCGCCCUCAUCUCAGACUGCGGCUGGCGUAUUAUCGGGGAUGAGGACAGUAAUAAAUGAGCCGCUGUCCCGCUGCAUCAUGCAGGAAAUCUCGCUCAAGGUGAUUCCGGGAUUCUUCAGCUUUCUGCUCUCCAGAAGGAUUGCCGUGAUUUAUGAAAUGCUCCAGUUUGGGCAGGAAAAGGACACAGAGGACAGGAAGGAGGGGGAUUGCAAUGACAUCACACAGGCAGGGCUAGAACACCGCGAUCUACCCAUGGGUGAUGACGUUUAGUUUCUUUUUCGCUCUUCAAGCCCAAUCAGAAAAUCUUUGCUAUUUAUAAGGGAAAAAUAAGGAAAAAAAAAAACAUUUAAUAAAAAUCUGUCAUCAAUAUACUUACAAUUACGUUGCUCUAAAACUGUCUCACCUCUCUUUUGUGGGACACAAAAGAAGAUAUUUAGCAGAAUGUUCAAGCUGCUCUCUUCCAUCCAGUGAAAGUCAAUGGGGACCAAAUCUGCUCCUGGUCCUAAAGGAACAGCCUGGAUAUUCUGAUAAAUAUUAAAAAUCUACUUUUUCGAUUAAAGUCAUGCAAAUUUGGAAUAUCAUGAGGCUGAGUAUAUGAUGACAGAAUUAUCAUUGUGUGGUUAAGUCUCGCUUUAAAUAAGCCUAAAUCAUUUAGAUAAAAAUAUGAAUUAUUGCAAAUUAUUGGACCUCCAUAACUUUAUAACAAAUAUUUAAAUAUUUAAUGUAAAAUCUGGAUGAAAAAGAAAACAUCAACACAUCGUCAAAUAAAGGUUUAUGAGAUGUGUGGCAGCAUAUUUAAUAAAAUAAAUAGUGUAA
Molecule: long non-coding RNA, 1207 nt
Organism: Puntigrus tetrazona (Sumatra barb)
Lineage: Eukaryota; Metazoa; Chordata; Actinopteri; Cypriniformes; Cyprinidae
Exons: 2
Source: RefSeq, a predicted model, not a curated record